GAUGAACGCUGGCGGCGUGCCUAAUACAUGCAAGUCGAGCGAACGGACGAGAAGCUUGCUUCUCUGAUGUUAGCGGCGGACGGGUGAGUAACACGUGGAUAACCUACCUAUAAGACUGGGAUAACUUCGGGAAACCGGAGCUAAUACCGGAUGAUAUUUUGAACCGCAUGGUUCAAAAGUGAAAGACGGUCUUGCUGUCACUUAUAGAUGGAUCCGCGCUGCAUUAGCUAGUUGGUAAGGUAACGGCUUACCAAGGCAACGAUGCAUAGCCGACCUGAGAGGGUGAUCGGCCACCCUGGACCUGAGACCCGGCCCAGCCCCCUACGGGGGGCCGCAGUGGGGAAUCUUCCGCAAUGGGCGAAAGCCUGACGGGGCAACGCCGCGGGGGUGAUGAAGGCCUUCGGUUCGUAAACCUCUUUUUUUAGGGAAGAAAAUAUUUGUAAGUAACUGUGCCCAUUUUGACGGUACCUAAUCAAAAAGCCCCGGCUAACUCCGU
This 496-nucleotide ribosomal RNA is filed under the name uncultured bacterium. Its description in RNAcentral is "partial 16S ribosomal RNA". It matches the Rfam family "Bacterial small subunit ribosomal RNA", at positions 28 to 506 of the family's 1533-position model. The record is from RNAcentral.